CAAAGAUCGGCGCAGCUCUCCGCUGAACAGGCAUCCAUCCAUUCUCUGCUGUUUUGGACAUGAGACUACUUAAUUGCUUCUUCAGCCUGAUAAUUGCUAUGUGAUGGCUGGUUUUUAUUUGCAGUCCCGAUUUGUCCUGUGCUGUCGUGUAGAGUACUGGGUUUGUAACUGAUGAAAGGUGACUGGGAAGUUGGGAAGUUUCCUUUUGUUCUGAACUCUGAUGACAAAUGAUCAUUUCCCAGUGGAUGAUUUACAGUACCUUCAGAAAGGUUGUGAGAGCUGGCUUACCAGUGCAGUGACGUCACCGC
Long non-coding RNA from Lepisosteus oculatus (spotted gar), 308 nucleotides. RefSeq lists it as uncharacterized. Lineage: Eukaryota; Metazoa; Chordata; Actinopteri; Semionotiformes; Lepisosteidae. The record is from RefSeq and is a predicted model, not a curated record.